UACGUCCCGGGCCUUGUACACACCGCCCGUCACACCACGAAAGUCGAUUGCAACAGAAGUGGUCUGCAAAGAUCCCGAAGUUGUGGUCGGUGAUUGGGGUG
RNAcentral lists this ribosomal RNA (101 nucleotides) under uncultured bacterium. Its description in RNAcentral is "partial 16S ribosomal RNA". It matches the Rfam family "Bacterial small subunit ribosomal RNA", at positions 1367 to 1482 of the family's 1533-position model. The record is from RNAcentral.